CGCGUAGGCGGCUUGGUAAGUCAAAGGUGAAAUCCCUCGGCUCAACUGAGGAAUUGCCUUUGAAACUGCCUGGCUUGAGGCCGGGAGGGGGUAGCGGAAUUCCCAGUGUAGCGGUGAAAUGCGUAGAUACUGGGAGGAACACCAGUGGCGAAGGCGGCUACCUGGACCGGUUCUGACGCUGAUGCGCGAAAGCGUGGGGAGCAAACAGGAUUAGAUACCCUGGUAGUCCACGCUGUAAACGAUGGGUGCUCGGUGUCGCGGGUAUCGACCCCUGCGGUGCCUUAGCUAACGCGUUAAGCACCCCGCCUGGGGAGUACGGUCGCAAGGCUGAA
This 332-nucleotide ribosomal RNA is filed under the name uncultured Acidobacteriota bacterium. RNAcentral describes it as "bacterial SSU rRNA". It matches the Rfam family "Bacterial small subunit ribosomal RNA", at positions 568 to 898 of the family's 1533-position model. The record is from RNAcentral. Lineage: Bacteria; Pseudomonadati; Acidobacteriota.